GCCAGCUCUGCAGCACCUUUCAGCCCCUCAGUACAUCUAGUUGCUGUCAACCACAGAACUCACACCAUUCUGUUUCAUUCUCUGUUUGGACAGUGAGCUCACCUCCCCUCUCUCUCCUCACGCUAACUGACACUUCAGAACUGACACUUCAGCAGUUCCCACACACUACCAGACAGUUAACUCACUGUACAAGACCUCUCCCCUUCACUUCACUCUACUGCAGGGUGGGAGAUGCAACAAUGGCCUUGAGAACAGCAGGAAGUGUGUUGGUGGUCUUUCUCUGGUCUGUGGCAGUGAUUCUGGGUCAGAAUAGCAGGAUUGUGACCUACACCAAGAAUAGUUUCUGUACCUUGAAGGGGUCAACAGUGGAUCUAUCCUGCUCUUACACAUAUCCCAGAGGUCAUACAGUCACAGCAACCACAUGGUAUAAAAGGAAGAGUUUGACCUGGACUCACAUCCAAGAUAAAUAUGAGGAUCGUAUAGAGUACCGUGGGAAUAAGGAGAAUGACUGCACCCUGACAAUCACAGACCUGAGAGAGGAGGAUUCAGCAUCAUAUUACUUCUCAUUUUCAACAGGCUCAAGGACAUCUGGCUCAGCUGUCACUCUCUCUGUCACAGAUCUAAAGGUGACUGGGGGAACAAGAGGGGAGUAUUGGAAGACACUGACCUGUAGCACCACCUGUACUCUGACUGACAACCCCACCUACAUCUGGUACAAGAACGGACUCAAAGUAAAGGAGGACACUUCCAGCCUGGACUCAGACUCCUUUAGUGAUGCAGACAGUUACUCCUGUGCUGUAAAAGGCCAUGAGGAUCUCCUCUCUCCUGCAGUG
Long non-coding RNA from Oncorhynchus masou masou (cherry salmon), 833 nucleotides. RefSeq lists it as uncharacterized. Lineage: Eukaryota; Metazoa; Chordata; Actinopteri; Salmoniformes; Salmonidae. The record is from RefSeq and is a predicted model, not a curated record. The transcript is spliced from 5 exons.